CAGUAGCCACGGUAAAACGGAGGGCGCGAGCGUACCCGGAUUUACUGGGCGUAAAGGGCGUGUAGGCGGCCUGGGGCGUCCCAUGUGAAAGGCCACGGCUCAACCGUGGAGGAGCGUGGGAUACGCUCAGGCUAGAGGGUGGGAGAGGGUGGUGGAAUUCCCGGAGUAGCGGUGAAAUGCGCAGAUACCGGGAGGAACGCCGAUGGCGAAGGCAGCCACCUGGUCCACUUCUGACGCUGAGGCGCGAAAGCGUGGGGAGCAAACCGGAUUAGAUACCCCAGUAGUCCCUGUCUCUUAUACA
RNAcentral lists this ribosomal RNA (301 nucleotides) under uncultured bacterium. RNAcentral describes it as "partial 16S ribosomal RNA". It matches the Rfam family "Bacterial small subunit ribosomal RNA", at positions 509 to 808 of the family's 1533-position model. The record is from RNAcentral.